RNAcentral lists this ribosomal RNA (200 nucleotides) under uncultured bacterium. RNAcentral describes it as "partial 16S ribosomal RNA". It matches the Rfam family "Bacterial small subunit ribosomal RNA", at positions 1300 to 1500 of the family's 1533-position model. The record is from RNAcentral.
GUAGUCUGCAACUCGACUACAUGAGCCGGAAUCGCUAGUAAUCGCGAAUCAGAAUGUCGCGGUGAAUACGUUCCCGGGUCUUGUACACACCGCCCGUCACACCAUGGGAGCCGGAAAUGUCCGAAGUCAGUGGCCCAACCGCAAGGAGGGAGCUGCCGAAGGUGGAGCUGGUGACUGGGGUGAAGUCGUAACAAGGUAAC